UACGUAGGGUGCAAGCGUUGUCCGGAAUUAUUGGGCGUAAAGAGCUCGUAGGCGGUCUGUCGCGUCGGCUGUGAAAUCCCGAGGCUCAACCUCGGGUCUGCAGUCGAUACGGGCAAACUGGAGUACUGCAGGGGAGACUGGAAUUCCUAGUGUAGCGGUGAAAUGCGCAGAUAUCAGGAGGAACACCGGUGGCGAAGGCGGGUCUCUGGGCAGUAACUGACGCUGGGGAGCGAAAGCGUGGGGAGCGAACAGG
RNAcentral lists this ribosomal RNA (253 nucleotides) under uncultured bacterium. RNAcentral describes it as "partial 16S ribosomal RNA". It matches the Rfam family "Bacterial small subunit ribosomal RNA", at positions 524 to 776 of the family's 1533-position model. The record is from RNAcentral.